RNAcentral lists this transfer RNA (74 nucleotides) under Phakopsora pachyrhizi. Its description in RNAcentral is "tRNA-Ser". It matches the Rfam family "tRNA". From Rfam's summary of the family: Transfer RNA (tRNA) molecules are approximately 80 nucleotides in length. Their secondary structure includes four short double-helical elements and three loops (D, anti-codon, and T loops). The record is from RNAcentral. Lineage: Eukaryota; Fungi; Basidiomycota; Pucciniomycetes; Pucciniales; Phakopsoraceae.
GCGCACUUAGCUCAAAUGGUAAAGAGCAUCACUCUUGAAAGUUGAGGUUGUGGGUUCGAUUCCCACAGUGCACA